Molecule: unclassified non-coding RNA, 347 nt
Filed under: soil metagenome
Description: partial contains 5.8S ribosomal RNA, internal transcribed spacer 2, and large subunit ribosomal RNA
Rfam family: 5.8S ribosomal RNA (bases 5-119)
Source: RNAcentral
GAUGAGAACGUAGCGAAAUGCGAUAAGUAAUGUGAAUUGCAGAAUUCAGUGAAUCAUCGAGUCUUUGAACGCACAUUGCGCCCCCUGGUAUUCCGGGGGGCAUGCCUGUCCGAGCGUCAUUGCUGCCCUCAAGCACGGCUUGUGUGUUGGGCCCCCGUCCCCGGUUUCCCCCGGGGACGGGCCCGAAAGGCAGCGGCGGCACCGCGUCCGGUCCUCGAGCGUAUGGGGCUUUGUCACCCGCUCUGUAGGCCCGGCCGGCGCCAGCCGACACCCAACUUUAUUUCUAAGGUUGACCUCGGAUCAGGUAGGGAUACCCGCUGAACUUAAGCAUAUCAAUAAGCGGAGGA